UUUUUUCCACUGUACAGCAUGGGGACCCAGUACACAUACAUGUAUACACUCUUUUUUCUCCCAUUGUCGUGCUGCGAUGUAAGUAUCUAGACAACAUAGUUCUCAAUGCUACACAGCAGGAUCUCAUUGUUAAUCCAUUCCAAGAGCACUACUUUGUAUCUGUUAACCCCAAGCUCCCGAUCCAUCCCACUCCCUCCGUCUUCCCCCUGGGCAGCCACAAGUCCAUUCUCCAUGUCCAUGAUUUUCUUUUCUGUGGAAAGGUUCAUUUGUGCCAUAUAUUAGAUUCCAGAUAUAAGUGAUAUCAUAUGGUAUUUGUCUUUCUCUUUCUGACUUACUUCACUCAGUAUGAGAGUCUCUAGUUCCAUCCAUGUUGCUGCAAAGGGCAUUAUUUCAUUCUUUUUUAUGGCUGAGUUGUAUUCCAUUGUUUAUCUAUACCACAUCUUCCUAAUCCAAUCAUCUGUUGAUGGACCUUUGGGUUGGUUCCAUGUCUUGGCUAUUCUGAAUAGUGCUGCAAUGAACAUGUGGGAGCGUGUGUCUUUUUUAAGGAAAGUUUUGUCUGGAUAUAUGCCCAAGAGUGGGAUUGCUGGGUAAUAUGGUAGUUCUAUGUAUAGAUUUCUAAGGUACUUCCAUACUGUUCUCCACAGUAGAUGUACGAGCUUCCUAAGAUAGAGAUGAUAAGGCAUAUUUUUUUGUUGUUGUUGAGGAAGAAAUUUAAUGUAUGUGAAUAUCCCAGCUCUUGUGGGAGUUUCCUUUGUGCUUUUAGAAACUGUCCAAAGAAGUUUGUGGUUCUUUCCACUUUGGUGGGUGUUAUAUAAAAUACAUGAAAGAAUAGCUUUUUAUGCUUUAAAGAACUGGGGUGAUGACUCUGUUGCUUAGUAAACACCCCUGAAGUGGGUGGAGCACAUGCAUAUGAAGAGCAUGAGCAUUUUCUCAUUUGGUUGGACAAAAGUGACAUCUCCCCUUCCUUUAUAGCUUUACAGAAUGGAUGGAGGGGCCAACAGCACUUCAUUUCUUCUCACCAAGCCUGACAUAGACUAUGCCUGCUUUCAUUGCUUUCAGAAAUAAUUAGGUGUUGAAAGCUCUGACUAAAAGGAUUAGAGAUACGAAUAACAACUUGACAGAUCAAAUCAAAUACCUUCUGAUUUUAUUACAUUACUAAGUCAAUUAUUAUUUCUUGUCACAUUAAUUAUGGCAGGAGUUAUAAAAAUGUGUCUUCCAAUAAUUCCCUAACUAAAUCAUUAUGGGCAUAGUCUUGUCGUGAAUCUGUGUAACAUCAAGGGUACCACUUUGUCCAACAGUGGAGGAGGGACUGAAAAGAGGGAUGGAGUUCUAUAUUAAUUUUUGUAUUGAUUAUUCAUGAAGUAUCCACUCUGUGUUAGGCACUGGACCUAUUAAAGAUACUGGGGGUAUGAAAAUAAAAAGAUUCAGCUACUCUCAAGAAGCUCACACCUCUGAGGGUGAGGCAGGCCUACAAAUAGAUAAAUCCAUUUUAAGAUGGAGUGAAGUGAAGGGCUCAGGAAGUGAGUGAAGGAGGCUUAAUUAUGAUGGUAUAUUCAGAGAGGUCUUCACAGAGGAUUUCCUGUUUGGAUCUCCUGCUGUUAUCACAUAGUAUAUUAAUUCUAGUCAGUUUCUGGGUAGAAGACAUUUUGCUGAACAAGAUCUUUGCUAGUAGAAUAAAUGACCCAGGAACAUGCUGAAAAGAUGCAUCAAGACCUAGAGAACAAUCACAUUGUUACUCUGCCCCCAACAAUACACAUGCCCAAAGUUUUUAAAUGAGACCAAGGUUACUUAAUGUUGAAUCAAAAUAUUAAGGUUUACUUCAGUGUAUGACAUGCACUUAGAGGUAUACUUGAGCUUGAGUGUCCUUCUCAUGAGCCAAGCUUGAGGCUAAGCACAUCCUACUACCUGAGCUCAUUUAACCCUCUCAUACUCCUCUUGAAGAAGACAUUAGUCUCAAUGAUUUGCAGAUAGGAUGUUUAGAAUUAGAGGGGUUGAGUUACCUACUAUGAUCACACAGCUAGUAUGCAGCAGUACUAAGGUUCAGACUUGUUUAUCAAUGAUUUAAAAGAUCAUUCCAUUGUGAUAUGGAGCAAUGUAAAAUACAGACAUCGUUUUUCACAAGAUGGGUCAGAAUAAAUAAAUGACUUGCUCUAGAUGAUAAAGCAACUUAGUGGCAGAGCUGUAAUUUGGACUCCAAAUAUACAAACUGCCACCAGGUAACUUUAUUCUCUUUUCAAAGGAUAUUUGAAAUCACAGUGUGUAGUCCUGGGCAUCUUAUAACCUAUGCAUAUAUGAUACACAGAGAGUGCAGCAGAGUCCCCCCAAAAAAACAGUACAUGAAAGAGCCUGUAAGGUAGAACUUCUACAGCUAACUAUAUGUGUUCAAAUCUUGUUUUAGCUCCUUUCUAUCUGUGUGACCUUCAGUAAACUAUUGAUCUUUUCUGAGAUGAACCCUUUCCUGAUGCUCAUUACAUUAAGAAGGACAUUCUACCUCCAGCCAUGGCCUCAUGUCUUCAUAUGACCCAUAUGCCACUCACAGAAUUAUCAUACACUGCCUAAUUCUUUUGAGUACCCUCCCAAACUGGCUGGGACAGCGUCACACACAAUUUCCCACUUGGGAUGGGAAACUUUCUUGUGACUUAAAGAAUCUGCUCAGAUUCUUGAUUUCCAUGAAGAUCACAAUGAGAGAAGACAAAGCCUGAGCUUCUACACUGACCACGUGACACUGACUCUUGUUGAAUUCACUCAAGGAAGAGUUCUACCCUAUUCAGGGCCCCCACAGCUCUCUGCUAACCUGGUUUCCUUACCUUUCUCAGCUCCUGCCCAAGAUACAAGUUAUUUUCUAUUGAAUGUAUGGGAGUUACUUAUCACUUCAAGUACGUUGAUCACCAGCCAAAGACAGUCCAGAGGAAGUUUUCUAGUGUUCUACCUUUGGACUUCUCUUAACCAGUAUUUUGGUUGCAACAUUUCUAUCUCUGGGUAAGAUUAUAAAAGGCAUGAACCUAAGACUCUAGGAGAUAUUUAAAGGUAAAUUAAUGUACUGGAUAAAGAUGGAAUUUGGAUGAUAACUAAGAUACCCCCCCAUUUUAGGAUCUCAUUUUGUAUAAUUCUACUUAUUGCAAUUUUCUGAGAACAAAUUAAUUCAUUCAUAAAACAGAAUUGUAAAGCCUUAGUGUUUGAAGUUAGAAGAUCAGUAAAAACAAUGUCCUAGGACUUCAUCCAAUUCUAGGUUGUACUAUUAUGGGACUGACAGUUUUAGUUUUUGUGGUUUUUAAUGACUGCUGUUGGCUCAGCCUACUCUGGAAUCCAAGAUUAUGUAGCUAAUGCUCACUCACUUUUUAGUAUUUACAUAAUUGGUCCCUAACAGAGUUAAUUUUGUUCUAAUUUGCCAGAUUUUAUACUCUAAUUAUGUAUUUUGCCAGAAGUUGAAGAUUUUUCCAGUAAUCUCUACUCAAGAGGGAGGCAGAUCUUCCUAUAUGCAGUGGCUGAAACAAUUUGGCCCAAAUGGUUGAUGCCACAGGCAAAAUAUCCAAAGAUUGUUCACUUGAAAAUUAUGACUCUUUUUCAGUAUUUUACAUUGAAUUAUUUGUUUUAUGGACUAUUCAGUAUGCAUUGCACCAACACUAAUUACUGUACUAAUAAGUCAGCGUGUUACCAAGAUGUUUUGCCAUUAUAAUCACAGCCACAUGUUGUUGUCCUUCUCAAAUAGUCCAGGCUUAAUUGCAUCAUUUUUCAGGAGGAUUUAUGUGGUGUAGCUUAAUUCAAAAUUAGUACAUGAAUAAAUGAAGUGCAAACUAUUUUCUGCACUGACUCACAUGCAGAAUAAAUGUUCCAGAGAGUAGAGUAGCCAAAAUUUCAUGUUCCCAGUUGUCUGUGUAAUUUCCAUGUUGAGCCUCCAGUAGUCAUUUAUGGAAUAGGGGCUCAAAAAAUGGCAGAAGAAUCUCAGUGAAUAUGUAGAAAGAGCAUUAUGCAAAGUACUAGGAACAUGGGUUCUUGUCCCUGCCAUUCAUUUGUCAUAUGGCUCUUAGGGAUUAUUUUUCUUUUCUGAGACCUCAAUUUCCUCAUCUAAAAAUGUAGCAAGUUAUUCAAAUGAUCUCUGAUUCUCUUUACUGUCUUCCAUAAUAAUGUUUUACUUGCAUUAGUGUAGUUCUAUGAAGGUAAUAUUAAAAACCUGCCUGCCCUUAAAAGAAUGCCUAUUCUUUCCCAUGCUAAAAUUAAUAAUGGUGCCUAAAAUGGAAAUAACAUAAUCAUUUGAAUUCUACAUUCUUUAAGUUGAACCAUUUCCAACAUUAGCCUAUAUAACCCCUUCCUUACACUUUCAUUACUUUAAUUAUUUUUUCUGUUAUCCUCUUCCUUUUCCUUCCUGUGUUCAUAACCUGGCAUUUACAUGUAUGCACAUAUUGGUAUUCUGGUUUUUGGGAGCUGGGCCUUCACUGAAGAUAGCUUUGUAUAUUUGUGUGGAAGAAUGUUCAGUUUAGGCCCCUGGCUCUGUACUCUUAGAUUUUCCUUUAGUUUGUGAUGUUAAGUUCUAAUAAUUUAAACUAAAUUCUAGAUGAUGUAAAACUUGGCCUAGAAGACACACUCUUCUGCUUUCUUGCAUAUAACACUCAGGCAGGGUAGCAAGCUGUGAAGAGUACCACAAAAUUCUUCACAAAGAAAACCAGCCCUUGCCCUAGAUGUUCCUAUUAACCACUCAUGUUUUGUUUCUGCAAAGAACCUGGAUUAAAGGGAGAUUUUUUUUUAAAGCAUAGGACUACCUAUAAAGACUGGGAGAAUGGGAAGAGAGAAAUAAUUAUCAAGGGUUAUAUGCUAUAGAGGGCUUCAAAUCGCAUCUUGCUUCUGCCCUAUUCAGGCACAUCUAUGAAACUUGUUUUCUUCAUCUAUAAAUUACUUAAAUGACUAAAUGAGUAACAUAUAAAUCAGUCUCUCAAACCCCUAAAAAGUAAUGGUUUCCUAUGUACUUAAAGGCAACCUAAUGAAUACAUGUGGUUGGUGGUGAGAACAUUUCAGGUUGUGAUAAGGGCAUCAACAAAAAAUGCGGAGGUGGAAAAGCAAGGUGUGCUUGGAGGUCCCCAAAGUGGAACGAAAGCUUCAAAAAGAAGUAGAAUAGUAUAGAAUGAGAGAUGGUGGCCAGAUCAUAGGGGUCUCUGGAUAUCAAAAGGUAGAAGUGAACUUUAUAUUGGUUCUAUGAGAAAGGAUUAAAUGAUGGAAUCUUGAAUUCACAGUGAGGAGUUUUCACGGUCUCCACCAGCCCAGGAA
Molecule: long non-coding RNA, 5259 nt
Filed under: Sus scrofa (pig)
Lineage: Eukaryota; Metazoa; Chordata; Mammalia; Artiodactyla; Suidae
Description: lncRNA (ENSSSCG00060033124.1)
Source: RNAcentral